UACUUUCAAAAUAUUUUUUAAAAUAAAAUAAACUAUCGUAAUGAGUUGUAUCUCAAAUAUGUUAUCUAUAUGCAAGAAAAUUAUAAAUAUAUCAUGUAAUAUUAAAUAUUUUGGAUUGUAAUUUCAAAAUUAAACGUUAAAACCAACAAUUUAUUUUUUAUGAUAGUUCUCUUUGUUGUAAGUUGUAUGAUAAAUAAUGAUAUACCAUUUAAAUUUUUAAAAUAAAAAUGAUUUAAAAUCAUUUUAGAGAUAUUAAAUUGAAAAAGUAUAUGAAAGUUUCUUAUCUCUUUUUAUAAUUCUAAAAUUUAUUUUAAAAUAAAUAAAUAAUAUGAUAUAAGGUUUAAGCAAAUUGUAUAUUUUAAAAUAACUAAAUAAUUGUAAUGUUAUAAUUUUGCUUUUAGCAAUGUUCGAACUCAUGACCUUAACAAAUGAGUAGUAUGUGUUUUGACCUAUUAAAAAAUGAAGAUACGGUUGAGGAGGUAGAUGGUCAGGUUGACAUCAAAAGAGUUCAGGUUGCUUUGAUGAUAUAAUGAUUUCUUUUUUUUGCAGCUGGGUUAGGUUUAGAUAGACGAUCCUUAGGUUGAGAUGAAUGAUAGGUUGACAUGGAAGAAGCUCAGAUUUCUUUGAUGAUAUAAUGAUUUCUGUUUUUGGAUUGUUUAAGGAUUUCUGCUCCACCACUUCCGAUGCUCCUUCCAAAAUGAUUCUGGUAUACCUCUCUCUUUACAUAGUUCCAGUGCCAGCUUUAGAGCCGGGUAAUCAACAUCAUUGUACCCCAAGACCUCUUAUAAAACGAUACAAUUCAAAAAUUCAGAAUAAUAAUCAAUAUAUAACCGUGUUUAAUUAUUAAUCAACUAUAACAGCUACUUACUUCAAUAAA
Molecule: long non-coding RNA, 877 nt
Filed under: Lathyrus oleraceus (garden pea)
Lineage: Eukaryota; Viridiplantae; Streptophyta; Magnoliopsida; Fabales; Fabaceae
Description: Pisum sativum (pea) long non-coding RNA (PSAT_LNC019912)
Source: RNAcentral